UACGGGGGGGGUAAGCGUUGUUCGGAAUUACUGGGCGUAAAGGGCUCGUAGGUGGCCAACUAAGUCAGACGUGAAAUCCCUCAGCUUAACUGGGGAACUGCGUCUGAUACUGGAUGGCUUGAGUUUGGGAGAGGGACGCGGAAUUCCCGGUGUAGAGGUGAAAUUCGUAGAUAUCGGGAGGAACACCGGUGGCGAAGGCGGCGACCUGGGUCGAGACUGACGCUGAGGCGCGAAAGCGUGGGGAGCAAACAGG
This 253-nucleotide ribosomal RNA is filed under the name uncultured bacterium. RNAcentral's name for it is "partial 16S ribosomal RNA". It matches the Rfam family "Bacterial small subunit ribosomal RNA", at positions 524 to 776 of the family's 1533-position model. The record is from RNAcentral.